CCUACGGGGGGCUGCAGUGGGGAAUAUUGGACAAUGGGGGGAACCCUGAUCCAGCCAUACCGCGUGUGUGAAGAAGGCCCUCGGGUUGUAAAGCACUUUCAGUGAGGAAGAACGCCUGGUGGUUAAUACCCAUCAGGAAAGACAUCACUCACAGAAGAAGCACCGGCUAACUCCGUGCCAGCAGCCGCGGUAAUACGGAGGGUGCGAGCGUUAAUCGGAAUUACUGGGCGUAAAGCGCGCGUAGGUGGCUUGAUAAGCCGGUUGUGAAAGCCCCGGGCUCAACCUGGGAACGGCAUCCGGAACUGUCAAGCUAGAGUGCAGGAGAGGAAGGUAGAAUUCCCGGUGUAGCGGUGAAAUGCGUAGAGAUCGGGAGGAAUACCAGUGGCGAAGGCGGCCUUCUGGACUGACACUGACACUGAGGUGCGAAAGCGUGGGUAGCAAACAGGAUUAGAUACCCUGGUAGUC
Molecule: ribosomal RNA, 465 nt
Filed under: Vreelandella stevensii
Lineage: Bacteria; Pseudomonadati; Pseudomonadota; Gammaproteobacteria; Oceanospirillales; Halomonadaceae
Description: partial 16S ribosomal RNA
Rfam family: Bacterial small subunit ribosomal RNA
Source: RNAcentral